Molecule: ribosomal RNA, 253 nt
Filed under: uncultured bacterium
Lineage: Bacteria
Description: partial 16S ribosomal RNA
Rfam family: Bacterial small subunit ribosomal RNA
Source: RNAcentral
UACGAAGGGGGCUAGCGUUGUUCGGAAUUACUGGGCGUAAAGCGCACGUAGGCGGGUUGUUAAGUCAGGGGUGAAAUCCUGGAGCUCAACUCCAGAACUGCCUUUGAUACUGGCAACCUAGAGACUGGAAGAGGUUAGUGGAAUUCCCAGUGUAGAGGUGAAAUUCGUAGAUAUUGGGAAGAACACCAGUGGCGAAGGCGGCUAACUGGUCCAGCACUGACGCUGAGGCGCGAAAGCGUGGGGAGCAAACAGG